RNAcentral lists this ribosomal RNA (173 nucleotides) under Lepidobatrachus laevis (Budgett's frog). RNAcentral describes it as "partial 16S ribosomal RNA". The record is from RNAcentral. Lineage: Eukaryota; Metazoa; Chordata; Amphibia; Anura; Ceratophryidae.
ACGUGAUCUGAGUUCAGACCGGAGUAAUCCAGGUCAGUUUCUAUCUAUAAGGAGCUUUUUCUAGUACGAAAGGAUCGAAAAAGCAUGGCCAAUGCUAAUGUAAGCCAUCUUUACUAAUUUAUGCUUAAAACUUAAUUUAUACUUAAUCCAAAAUUUUACUCAAGAAAAGAGAA